This 407-nucleotide long non-coding RNA is filed under the name Homo sapiens (human). Its description in RNAcentral is "HSALNT0163219". Lineage: Eukaryota; Metazoa; Chordata; Mammalia; Primates; Hominidae. The record is from RNAcentral.
UGGGAUGAUCUGUUGGGAUGGCCACCGUUUCUACAGCAUACUGGAGAGAUGAGGUCUUGCCUGGUCUUGAAUCCUGGACUCAAGUGACCCUUUGCCUCUGUCUCCCAAUGUGAUGGAAUUACAGCCGUGAGCCACUGCACCCAGCCAACUGCUUCAUUCUUAAGGUUCCAGCUACUUCUCACCCUGGCUCAGAUCUAGUAACUGCUCUUUUGUCAAACUAAACCUUUUUCAGCUAAACGCUGUGGUCGGUGGGGUGGAUACCUCACUACAAACCUCACCCAGUGGAAUGUUAUUCUACUGAGGCAACUGUGAAAAAGAGAAACUGAUAUGCUAGUGACGCUCAGUUUAAUAGAUGGGAGAGAAGGAGUGGAAUAGGUAUAUGGCCUUUCUUUUUUUUCCAUUCUCUG